This 1235-nucleotide long non-coding RNA is filed under the name Ursus thibetanus thibetanus. RNAcentral describes it as "lncRNA (ENSUTTG00000009366.1)". Lineage: Eukaryota; Metazoa; Chordata; Mammalia; Carnivora; Ursidae. The record is from RNAcentral.
CGGGCGGGGCGCGAAAGCCCGGGGGCCGCGCCGGGAAGAGGAAGGCGAGGGGCCGAGGGGGCGCCGGGGGACUGGGGGCGCGCGGCGGCUCCAGGCGGGAGCGGCCGCGGCCGGGCCUGGGGCCGGGCGGCAGGGCUGGGGCGGGGGCCGGGCCGGCCGGAGCGGGGGGUCCCGGGCCGGGGCCGGAGCUGGAGCCGAAGCUGGAACCGGAGCGGAGGGGGGUGUCGGGGCGGAGGGGGCCGGAGCCGGGACCCAGCCAAAGCGGGGAAAUCGGCCAAGUGAGCGCCGCGGCUGUCGCUACCGCUGCCGUCGCCGAAGCUCGCUGGGCGUGCGCGCUGCGCUCUGGCGAGGAGGGCGCUCCGCUCCGCUUUUAUAGCUCCAUGGCGGACCACGUUGAGAACAACAACAGCCUGGUCUGGAGCCAGCGCCAACUUGUGCUUCUUGGAGCCCCUUCCUCGGCCGCUGGCUUCCCGGCCCGCGCCUCCCGGGCGCCACCGAGACCACGGCCGAGCGCCCCGGACAGGGCCCGAGGCUGCGGCGCAGCAGAGAGGCGGCCUGCGCCCGGGAAGGGCUCGGCGAAGUCCUCCGCGGCGGCCUGUGCGAGUCUGGCAGCUCUGAGCUAGUCGGGGUGCAGCAUAACUGGUGCCGAGGAGGCGCUGAACAGUCUUUCUCGAAGCCAAAAAAGCCUCUACUUGGGGAAGCUGAGACCAUGGGGAGACACGUCGGGAGGAGAGCUGAUCCCUUUGGGUCUCAGUUUGUGGACCAACUUUCUUCCUGGGGAAGAACUGAGAGCAGCCUGCGGCCCCCUGCUCAACAGAUGGAGCCCAGGUCCCACGCUUGCCAGGAAUCGAACGUUCCCCGGGCGGUUGCAUGUGGCUGGCUGGUGUAUUUCCACCUCCACUGUCCAGAUGAGGAAACUGAGGCUUCGGAGAGGUUAGGUAAUGUCCCUGAUGAUAUACGGCCAGGGAAAGAUGGCAAAGAAUUUGCUGUUUACCCCAUUGCAAGUAGCCCCCCUCUGCCACCUCCAGACAGUCUCAUACUUUGCUUUUAUACCACUUAUCACUUUCGGAGAUUAUCCUGUCUUGUGCCUGUCGUCCCCACAAGAGCAGGGACCCUGUCUAACUCACUGCUGCAUAGGGCCUGGCACAUAGUAGGCCCUCAAUAAAUAUUUGUUGAAUGAAUGAGAUGGGAUUCAAACCCAGGUCCGGCUGGGAGGCUUGUGCUUCCUGUCACAG